UACGUAGGGGGCAAGCGUUGUCCGGAAUCAUUGGGCGUAAAGCGCGUGUAGGCGGUCCGGUAAGUCCGCUGUGAAAGUCCAGGGCUCAACCCUGGAAUGCCGGUGGAUACUGUCGGGCUCGAGUCCGGAAGAGGCGAGUGGAAUUCCUGGUGUAGCGGUGAAAUGCGCAGAUAUCAGGAGGAACACCGAUGGCGAAGGCAGCUCGCUGGGACGGUACUGACGCUGAGACGCGAAAGCGUGGGGAGCAAACAGG
Molecule: ribosomal RNA, 253 nt
Filed under: uncultured bacterium
Lineage: Bacteria
Description: partial 16S ribosomal RNA
Rfam family: Bacterial small subunit ribosomal RNA
Source: RNAcentral